Molecule: ribosomal RNA, 371 nt
Filed under: uncultured eukaryote
Lineage: Eukaryota
Description: partial 18S ribosomal RNA
Rfam family: Eukaryotic small subunit ribosomal RNA
Source: RNAcentral
CAAUAGCGUAUAUUAAAGUUGUUGCAGUUAAAAAGCUCGUAGUUGGAUUUCUGGGAGGGUGCCGCCGUCCGGCGUGUCCGUGUGCAGUGGCGCCCUUCCAUCCUUCUGUUAGCGUCUCUUGGCAUUCAUUUGCUGGUGGCGGGCUCAGAUAUUUUACCUUGAGAAAAUUAGAGUGUUUCAGGCAGGCUAGGCCGGAAUACAUUAGCAUGGAAUAAUGGAAUAGGACUACGGUCUCUUUGUUGGUUUGAGGGACUGCAGUAAUGAUUAAUAGGGAUAGUUGGGGGCAUUAGUAUUUAAUUGUCAGAGGUGGAAUUCUCAGAUUUGUUAAAGACUAACUUAUGCGAAAGCAUUUGCCAAGGAUGUUUNCAUUA